This 434-nucleotide ribosomal RNA is filed under the name Nonomuraea sp. YN-7-5. RNAcentral's name for it is "bacterial SSU rRNA". It matches the Rfam family "Bacterial small subunit ribosomal RNA", at positions 59 to 515 of the family's 1533-position model. The record is from RNAcentral. Lineage: Bacteria; Bacillati; Actinomycetota; Actinomycetes; Streptosporangiales; Streptosporangiaceae.
CAGUCGAGCGGAAGGCCCUUCGGGGUACUCGAGCGGCGAACGGGUGAGUAACACGUGAGCAACCUGCCCCUGACUCUGGGAUAAGCCCGGGAAACUGGGUCUAAUACCGGAUACGACCGCCCCCGGCAUCGGGUGGUGGUGGAAAGUUUUUCGGUUGGGGAUGGGCUCGCGGCCUAUCAGCUUGUUGGUGGGGUAGUGGCCUACCAAGGCGACGACGGGUAGCCGGCCUGAGAGGGCGACCGGCCACACUGGGACUGAGACACGGCCCAGACUCCUACGGGAGGCAGCAGUGGGGAAUAUUGCGCAAUGGGCGAAAGCCUGACGCAGCGACGCCGCGUGGGGGAUGACGGCCUUCGGGUUGUAAACCUCUUUCAGCAGGGACGAAGUUGACGUGUACCUGCAGAAGAAGCGCCGGCUAACUACGUGCCAGCAGG